Molecule: long non-coding RNA, 1171 nt
Organism: Raphanus sativus (radish)
Lineage: Eukaryota; Viridiplantae; Streptophyta; Magnoliopsida; Brassicales; Brassicaceae
Exons: 2
Source: RefSeq, a predicted model, not a curated record
AUUUUUUUUCAUUCCGCAGUUUUUGUUAAUUGGUAAAAUACUUGCAGAAUCUUGAUGUCUUUGCGGUGUUGGAGAUAACUCUUUCCUUUUUUUGCUCUCGUUUGAUUAGGCCUUCUUGAUGUCUCCCUUUAUUUCUGGCGAGAUGCACAUGGUGUCUCGCUUCAGCGGAGGUUCCCAUUGCUUCUUCUGUCUGCGAUUGUGCAAGACUUGUGUAGACCAAAGGCGGAUCUAGAGCGGCGGCGAUCCGGGUGAAAGGGGGGUCUCGGAUCAGUUUACUAUUGAAGUACGACGAACCAUUUCCCCCGGGCCUUGUCAACUCUAAGCUUCGUAGCUGUGGCGCGUGGUUUCUGUUGGUCACCUUGUUUGCAGAUCUGGAAACUGGCCAAGUAAGGCAGUUUUGGCUCUCAAAUCUGUAAUGAGAGGUGGGUAUGUGGUAACGUUCGUAGCUUUCCCCGGUUCUCAUGAUGUAUCUUUUGGACCUUUUUUAUUGAGCCUUGUUUCAGUUUUUAGAGGUUUAGGGAUUGAAUGUCUCAGUGUGGUUCAAGUUUUGUUUGGUAAGUGACUGUUUCAGUUGCAAAUCUUUCAUGUUAUGGUAGUAGCAGUGUUUUCUCGUCGAUCUUGGACUAGUGCUGAUUGAAUUUUUGGAGAUUUGAUCAACGAGGCUUGUGUGUUUGGAAGUUGUGGUGGGCUUCUAUCUAGAUAUACAAGGAGCACCAGAAAGUUCGUUCCAGCCGUAUCUGAGAGAUGUGUAAAUCGUGAAGCGGUCCUGCUUGUCGGAAUGUAAAGUCUUGGUUAUAGGUUACUAGUUGGGGAUGGUGUCGUUCGGCAGGCUAUAGGCGGCAACGAUAGAUCCAGAGAAAGGAGACUUGGUGUCUUCAGUUGUUGAAGCGGAAGGCAUCGUAUGGCGGGCCAAGGGCAGCUGCGAUGUAUCCAGAUCAUAGCUCUCUAUUCAGUGGGAAGGUCUGUUCCACUGAGUCUUCCUUUGCCUUUGUGUAGCUGGUUUACGUUGGUUAUGAGUUAGUUGCGGUUCCUAGUUUAUUUUUCAUGUCUGGAUAUAUUUGAAAAUCACCCCGUAAUGGAUUUUAGCUGCCUUUUCUUGGGCCCUUGUAUGAAAACUUAUGUUCCAACGUUGAAUGAAUACUAUCAGUUCAGGGAAAAAAAAUUUAGCGGA